CAGCAGCCGCGGUAAUACGGAGGGUGCAAGCGUUACUCGGAAUCACUGGGCGUAAAGCGCGCGCAGGCGGCCUAUUAAGUUGGAUGUGAAAGCCUACGGCUCAACCGUAGAACUGCAUCCAAAACUAUUAGGCUAGAGUGUGGGAGAGGAAGAUGGAAUUAGUUGUGUAGGGGUAAAAUCCGUAGAGAUAACUAGGAAUACCAAAAGCGAAGGCAAUCUUCUGGAACAUUACUGACGCUGAGGCGCGAAAGCGUGGGGAGCAAACAGGAUUAGAUACCCUGGUAGUCCACGCCCUAAACGAUGAAUGUUAGUCGUCGGGUAGCUAGUCUAUUCGGUGAUGCAGCUAACGCAUUAAACAUUCCGCCUGGGGAGUACGGUCGCAAGAUUAAAACUCAAAGGAAUAGACGGGGACCCGCACAAGUGGUGGAGCAUGUGGUUUAAUUCGAAGAUACGCGAAGAACCUUACCUAGCCUUGACAUAUAUUAGAACACUUUAGAGAUAGAGUGGUGCCUUCGGGAGCUUUUAUACAGGUGCUGCACGGCUGUCGUCAGCUCGUGUCGUGAGAUGUUGGGUUAGUUCCCGCAACGAGCGCAACCCUCGUCACUAGUUACUAACGGUUCGGCCGAGGACUCUAGUGAGACUGCCUUCGUAAGGAGGAGGAAGGUGAGGACGACGUCAAGUCAUCAUGGCCCUUACGGCUAGGGCAACACACGUGC
RNAcentral lists this ribosomal RNA (716 nucleotides) under uncultured Campylobacterota bacterium. Its description in RNAcentral is "bacterial SSU rRNA". It matches the Rfam family "Bacterial small subunit ribosomal RNA", at positions 509 to 1225 of the family's 1533-position model. Lineage: Bacteria; Pseudomonadati; Campylobacterota. The record is from RNAcentral.